CCUACGGGUGGCAGCAGUGAGGAAUAUUGGUCAAUGGGCUUACGCCUGAACCAGCCAAGUCGCGUGAGGGAAGACUGCCCUAUGGGUUGUAAACCUCUUUUGUGCGGGAGCAAUACUGGUCACGUGUGGCCAGACGAGAGUACCGUACGAAUAAGCAUCGGCUAACUCCGUGCCAGCAGCCGCGGUAAUACGGGGGAUGCAAGCGUUAUCCGGAUUUAUUGGGUUUAAAGGGUGCGUAGGCUGUGAGGUAAGUCAGCGGUGAAAUGCCCCCGCUCAACGGGGUGAAGUGCCAUUGAUACUGCCUUGCGGGAAUGCGGAUGCCGUGGGAGGAAUGUGUGGUGUAGCGGUGAAAUGCAUAGAUAUCACACAGAACACCGAUUGCGAAGGCAUCUCACGAAGCCGCGAUUGACGCUGAUGCACGAAAGCGUGGGUAUCGAACAGGAUUAGAUACCCUUGUAGUC
RNAcentral lists this ribosomal RNA (461 nucleotides) under uncultured bacterium. Its description in RNAcentral is "partial 16S ribosomal RNA". It matches the Rfam family "Bacterial small subunit ribosomal RNA", at positions 338 to 795 of the family's 1533-position model. The record is from RNAcentral.